Long non-coding RNA from Nanorana parkeri, 184 nucleotides. RefSeq lists it as uncharacterized. The record is from RefSeq and is a predicted model, not a curated record. NCBI's taxonomy places the organism in Eukaryota, Metazoa, Chordata, Amphibia, Anura, Dicroglossidae. The transcript has 3 exons.
CCCCGAAUGGCGAAUGUCCUGCAGAGCGUCCGAGGAGUCCGGUCUGUGAAGGAGCUCUGGACGCAGCACCGCGCCGUGGAGGAGUACCGCCAGGAAUUCAUCUCCCGCUGGAGGAAGGAGAAGUUGGACGCGCUCGUCUGUCCUAUUCUGGGUCCGGCUUUGUCCAUCGGAUAUCCUGGCAAGU